GCGGGCGCAUACCGACCUGGAGAAACAAACUUCAACUCAAAUCAAUUAUCGCCUACCCUGAUUUGUAAUCAGAGGGUCCGCGGUUCAAGUCCGUGUGCCGGCACCA
RNAcentral lists this transfer RNA (106 nucleotides) under Alphaproteobacteria bacterium. RNAcentral describes it as "tRNA-Leu". The record is from RNAcentral. Lineage: Bacteria; Pseudomonadati; Pseudomonadota; Alphaproteobacteria.